AUCUCUAUGUUGUCAAAAGUUAUUCCAGCAUUUCAUGGAAUAAAGAAUUGGUCUAUAAGGUUUUUAACCAGUCCACAAAAUGUUUAGUAUCAAUACUUAAGGCCAUAUUACUUAGAUUUUUCAUUUCCUUCAGUUUAACAUUUUCAAAGCAUAACUAAUUUCUUUUUUAACUAAUUCUAUUUAUAUUCCAGGAUACUUCCCUUAGCUAAAGAAGGACAGCACAAGUUCACCUUCAAUUUCUCAGCAAUCUACAAACAAUAUUCUGUUGGAGUUAAUUUUACAAAGCAUUAACAUAUUACCACAUCGGAUCAAGAAAAAGUAGCUAGGAAGGACAUUACAGGGUUAACUCGAUGGUUCUCAAGGGGCAAUUUGGUCCCUAGAAAACAUUAGGCAAAAUGUGCCUAGAGACAUUUUUGGAGGUCACAAUGGAGGAAGGGGGAGGGCCACAGUGUACUGAUAUCUGUGGCUAGAACAGCUGGGCAAACUACCGCCCCCUGGCCAGAUCCCGCCAUUUGAAAUCAAUAAAACUA
Long non-coding RNA from Myotis davidii, 530 nucleotides. RefSeq lists it as uncharacterized. The transcript has 2 exons. The record is from RefSeq and is a predicted model, not a curated record. NCBI's taxonomy places the organism in Eukaryota, Metazoa, Chordata, Mammalia, Chiroptera, Vespertilionidae.